AAGGGAGGAGAAACUGGUUUUUAGUUGGCAAGCCAUUCACAGUCUUUGUUUAAUCCUGAGCUGAUGGUUUCAAAUUUGCAUAUAAACUGAAGCGCAGCAGUUUCUAUUUGAAGUCUGAUCCUGAAGUUUUUUUGCUGCAGGAUGGCCACCUUAAAGUCUGCUAU
Long non-coding RNA from Gopherus evgoodei (Goodes thornscrub tortoise), 164 nucleotides. RefSeq lists it as uncharacterized. NCBI's taxonomy places the organism in Eukaryota, Metazoa, Chordata, Testudines, Testudinidae. The record is from RefSeq and is a predicted model, not a curated record. The transcript has 3 exons.